UUUCCGGUACGAUCACCGAAGUUAAGCAAGGUCGGGCGUAGUCAGUACCUAGAUGGGUAACCGCUUGGUAAUACUAAGUGUUGUAAG
Acanthosepion pharaonis is the source of this 87-nucleotide non-coding RNA. NCBI's taxonomy places the organism in Eukaryota, Metazoa, Mollusca, Cephalopoda, Sepiida, Sepiidae. The record is from the annotation of a GenBank genome assembly.